AUGUGUGCAAUUUGUUGGCUCCCUUUUUCCUGUAAGCUCAUGGUUCAAGUCUCUUCAGAUGGAUGGUGGUUAGCUUGCUUACUCUGCACACACCUCUGGAGUUCUUCCCGGGCAACUUCCUAUCAUUAUAUUAGAGAGGGAGAGAUUCCCUGGAGAGAGAAGAGCCACGGAGACUGUGCUUCUGUUGCGGUUGAAAGACAAUCAAUAGCACACCACCUUCUAAACACACAUGUACAAAACUGUCAAUGCUAUUUAGAUAGUAUCUUAAAAGAUUUUUUAAUUAGUUCAUUAAAAUUUUUAUUAGUUAAACUCAGUUUUGAACAUAUUACAGAGACAUGCAUAUAUCUGGAAAUACGUGCUUGAAGUUUACACACAAUUAAUGAAGAUCCAAGAAUAGAUCUAUUAACUUUUGUGUAAUAGGAAAUGUUGGAGAAGAAGUCUAGUAUCUAGUAUAAAAGGGGAGAGACUAUUGCAAAUUAUUAUUAUUUUAUAUAUUUUUUUUAGUUUUUUACUUUUUUAAUUUUAAAAUCUUUAAUUCUUACACACGUUCCCAAACAUGAACCCCCUUCCCACUUCCCUCCCCAUAACAUUUCUCUGGGUCAUCCCCAUGCACCAGCCCCAGGCAUGCUGUAUCCUGCGUCAGACAUAGACUGGCGAUUCAAUUCUUACAUGAUAGUAUACAUGUUACAAUGCCAUUCUCCCAAAUCAUCCCACCCUCUCCCUCUCCCUCUGAGUCCAAAAGUCCGUUAUACACAUCUGUGUCUUUUUUCCUGUCUUGCAUACAGGGUCGUCAUUGCCAUCUUCCUAAAUUCCAUAUAUAUGUGUUAGUAUACUGUAUUGGUGUUUUUCUUUCUGGCUUACUUCACUCUGUAUAAUCGGCUCCAGUUUCAUCCAUCUCAUCAGAACUGAUUCAAAUGAAUUCUUUUUAACGGCUGAGUAAUACUCCAUUGUGUAUAUGUACCACAGCUUUCUUAUCCAUUCAUCUGCUGAUGGACAUCUAGGUUGUUUCCAUGUCCUGGCUAUUAUAAACAGUGCUGCGAUGAACAUUGGGGUACAUGUGUCUCUUUC
Molecule: long non-coding RNA, 1068 nt
Filed under: Ovis aries (sheep)
Lineage: Eukaryota; Metazoa; Chordata; Mammalia; Artiodactyla; Bovidae
Description: lncRNA (ENSOARG00000026872.1)
Source: RNAcentral